RNAcentral lists this long non-coding RNA (1140 nucleotides) under Numida meleagris (helmeted guineafowl). RNAcentral describes it as "lncRNA (ENSNMEG00000003944.1)". Lineage: Eukaryota; Metazoa; Chordata; Aves; Galliformes; Numididae. The record is from RNAcentral.
AUGCCCCCCCGGGGCAGCAGCGGGGGGAACGGGGGACGAGGGGCAAGAAGAGGGGGGAGAGCUGGACGGGGGACGCUGCGGGCAGGGCUGGGGGGGGGAACAGCGGGGGGCUCGGGCUGCGGGCGCGGGAGGACAGGAUCCACGCCGGGCAGGAAAGCUGUGGAUGCUCGGGAUGAGGGGAUGCCCAGGGUGUGGGGGGCUCGGGAUGCAGGGGUGCUCCAGAUACGGGGACGUUCGGGAUGUGGGGAUGAGGGGAUGCUCAGCAGGCGGGGACGCUCAGGGCGCUCAGGAUGCGGAGAUGUUCGCGAUGCGGGGAUGCCGCUGCCGCCAUCAGCCCGAGCCCGACGCCGCCGGCAGCCCCGAACCCGACUCACUCCAAGGUCAGCGCGGGGAUCUUCAGCCGCUCCCGCCGUGACUUCAUGCCGCCGCCGCUCCGCUCCGCUCCGCUCCCCGCGCCGCACCGGCAGCCCCCGCGCUGGGCGGCUCCAACGGGCGGGCGGCAGCGGCGGCACCGCCGGGAGCAGAGCUCGGCCCGCCGGGCCCGGACCCGCCCCUGCGGCUCGGCACGGCUCGGCACAGCUGGCACGGUUCGGGACUGCACCCCCCGGCUCGGCACCGCGCGGCACGGCAGCCCCCGAGCUCCCAGCACAGCCCAGAGCGGUGCAGAGGCCGCUCGGGGCCGCUGCGUUCCCGGGAUGCGCCUGGGCACCGCUGGAGCCAGAGCAGCACCGUCCCAGUACGGCCCCAGUGCGGCCCCAGCGCCCCCUCCAGCGCACCCCUGGCACGGCACCCGUGUGCCCCACACCCCCGGAGAGGCAGCGCAGCAGCGGUGCCCCCCCUCAUUACCGCACAACGCCCCGAGCAGCCUCAGCACAGCAUCAGGAUCGGCUCCUGCCGCACACCGGUACACCCCAAUACACCACGGCACAGCCCGGCGCGCUGCAGUGGCACACAGCUCUCCCCAGUACACUCCAGUACUCCCCGGUGCACCCUAACACACACGCAUCGUGUCUCUUUGGCACCAGAAAACACGGUGAUCCCACUCUGGGUUUGGGCACAGCAAGACCUGGCCACCCCAAGGUGGCAUCCAGCCGAGCCCUGCCGACAGCGGCGCGUCCCCAAGCGCGUCCCCCCCGGUGA